RNAcentral lists this unclassified non-coding RNA (1069 nucleotides) under leaf metagenome. RNAcentral's name for it is "partial contains internal transcribed spacer 1, 5.8S ribosomal RNA, internal transcribed spacer 2, and large subunit ribosomal RNA". The stretch from base 491 to 1069 matches the Rfam family "Eukaryotic large subunit ribosomal RNA", at positions 1 to 591 of the family's 3401-position model. The record is from RNAcentral.
UUACUGAGUUUACGCUCUACAACCCUUUGUGAACAUACCUAUAACUGUUGCUUCGGCGGGUAGGGUCUCCGUGACCCUCCCGGCCUCCCGCCCCCGGGCGGGUCGGCGCCCGCCGGAGGAUAACCAAACUCUGAUUUAACGACGUUUCUUCUGAGUGGUACAAGCAAAUAAUCAAAACUUUUAACAACGGAUCUCUUGGUUCUGGCAUCGAUGAAGAACGCAGCGAAAUGCGAUAAGUAAUGUGAAUUGCAGAAUUCAGUGAAUCAUCGAAUCUUUGAACGCACAUUGCGCCCGCCAGCAUUCUGGCGGGCAUGCCUGUUCGAGCGUCAUUUCAACCCUCAAGCUCUGCUUGGUGUUGGGGCCCUACAGCCGAUGUAGGCCCUCAAAGGUAGUGGCGGACCCUCCCGGAGCCUCCUUUGCGUAGUAACUUUACGUCUCGCACUGGGAUCCGGAGGGACUCUUGCCGUAAAACCCCCAAUUUUCCAAAGGUUGACCUCGGAUCAGGUAGGAAUACCCGCUGAACUUAAGCAUAUCAAUAAGCGGAGGAAAAGAAACCAACAGGGAUUGCCUCAGUAACGGCGAGUGAAGCGGCAACAGCUCAAAUUUGAAAUCUGGCCCUAGGCCCGAGUUGUAAUUUGCAGAGGAUGCUUUUGGUGCGGUGCCUUCCAAGUUCCCUAGAACGGGACGCCAGAGAGGGUGAGAGCCCCGUACAGUUGGACACCAAGCCUUUGUAAAGCUCCUUCGACGAGUCGAGUAGUUUGGGAAUGCUGCUCAAAAUGGGAGGUAUAUUUCUUCUAAAGCUAAAUACCGGCCAGAGACCGAUAGCGCACAAGUAGAGUGAUCGAAAGAUGAAAAGCACUUUGAAAAGAGGGUUAAACAGCACGUGAAAUUGUUAAAAGGGAAGCGCUUGUGACCAGACUUGCGUCCGGUGAAUCACCCAGCUCUCGCGGCUGGGGCACUUCGCCGGCUCAGGCCAGCAUCAGCUCGCUGUCGGGGACAAAAGCUUCAGGAACGUAGCUCUCUUCGGGGAGUGUUAUAGCCUGUUGCAUAAUACCCUUCGGCGGGCUGA